CUGGUUGAUCCUGCCAGUAGUCAUAUGCUUGUCUCAAAGAUUAAGCCAUGCAUGUCUAAGUUCAAGCGAAAAUAAAGUGAAACCGCGAAUGGCUCAUUACAUCAGUUAUGGUUCCUUAGAUCGCACUUACUACUUGGAUAACUGUGGUAAUUCUAGAGCUAAUACAUGCACUGAGCUCCAACCCUCGUGGAAGGAGCGCUUUUAUUAGAUCAAAGCCAAUCGGGCCUUCGGGUCCGUACCGUUGGUGACUCUGAAUAACUUUGCUGAUCGCAUGGUCUCGUACCGGCGACGUAUCUUUCAAGUGUCUGCCUUAUCAACUGUCGAUGGUAGGUUAUGCGCCUACCAUGGUUGUAACGGGUAACGGGGAAUCAGGGUUCGAUUCCGGAGAGGGAGCCUGAGAAACGGCUACCACAUCCAAGGAAGGCAGCAGGCGCGCAAAUUACCCACUCCCGGCACGGGGAGGUAGUGACGAAAAAUAACGAUACGGAACUCACAUGAGGCUCCGUAAUCGGAAUGAGUACACUUUAAAUCCUUUAACGAGGAUCUAUUGGAGGGCAAGUCUGGUGCCAGCAGCCGCGGUAAUUCCAGCUCCAAUAGCGUAUAUUAAAGUUGUUGCGGUUAAAAAGCUCGUAGUUGGAUCUCGGUUUCGGGCGGGUGGUGCGCCUUGCGGUGUUUACUGUCUGCCCGGACGAUUUUGUUGGUUCGUUCGUGGUUCUCUUAACCGAGUGCCACGGGUGGCCAGCACGUUUACUUUGAAAAAAUUGGAGUGCUCAAAGCAGGCGCUACAGCCUGAACAUUAGUGCAUGGAAUAAUGGAAUAGGACCUCGGUUCUAUUUCGUUGGCUUUCGGAGUCGAGGUAAUGAUUAAUAGGAACAGACGGGGGCAUUCGUACUGCGACGUUAGAGGUGAAAUUCUUGGAUCGUCGCAAGACGAACUACUGCGAAAGCAUUUGCCAAGAAUGUUUUCAUUAAUCAAGAACGAAAGUUAGAGGUUCGAAGGCGAUCAGAUACCGCCCUAGUUCUAACCAUAAACGAUGCCGACCGGCGAUCCGCCGUCGUUAAUUGAAUGACUCGGCGGGCAGCCUCCGGGAAACCAGAGUGUUUGGGUUCCGGGGGAAGUAUGGUUGCAAAGCUGAAACUUAAAGGAAUUGACGGAAGGGCACCACCAGGAGUGGAGCCUGCGGCUUAAUUUGACUCAACACGGGAAAUCUCACCAGGCCCGGACACCGGAAGGAUUGACAGAUUGAGAGCUCUUUCUUGAUUCGGUGGGUGGUGGUGCAUGGCCGUUCUUAGUUGGUGGAGCGAUUUGUCUGGUUAAUUCCGAUAACGAACGAGACUCUGGCCUACUAACUAGAUGUAGGAUCCCUUUGUGGGUCCGUCACUGCUUCUUAGAGGGACGGGCGGCUUUUAGCCGCACGAGAAUGAGCAAUAACAGGUCUGUGAUGCCCUUAGAUGUUCUGGGCUGCACGCGCGCUACACUGAAGGAAUCAGCGUGUGUUCCCUACCCGAAAGGGUUGGGAAACCCGUUGAACCUCCUUCGUGAUGGGGAUUGGGGAUUGCAAUUAUUCCCCAUGAACGAGGAAUUCCCAGUAGGCGCGAGCCAUAAGCUUGCGUCGAUUACGUCCCUGCCCUUUGUACACACCGCCCGUCGCUACUACCGAUCGAGUGAUUUAGUGAGGACUUCGGACUGGUCUUCGUGGUGGCUCUCGAGUCAUGACGGAGUUCCGGAAAGAUGCCCAAACUUGAUCACUUAGAGGAAGUAAAAGUCGUAACAAGGUUUCCGUAGGUGAACCUGCA
RNAcentral lists this ribosomal RNA (1796 nucleotides) under Sminthuridae environmental sample. RNAcentral describes it as "SSU rRNA". It matches the Rfam family "Eukaryotic small subunit ribosomal RNA". The record is from RNAcentral. Lineage: Eukaryota; Metazoa; Arthropoda; Collembola; Symphypleona; Sminthuridae. RNAcentral also lists the same sequence under 1 other name.